RNAcentral lists this ribosomal RNA (409 nucleotides) under bacterium. Its description in RNAcentral is "partial 16S ribosomal RNA". It matches the Rfam family "Bacterial small subunit ribosomal RNA", at positions 355 to 776 of the family's 1533-position model. The record is from RNAcentral.
UGGGGAAUAUUGCACAAUGGGCGGAAGCCUGAUGCAGCGACGCCGCGUGGGGGAUGAAGGCCUUCGGGUUGUAAACUCCUUUCGACAGGGACGAAGCUUUUGUGACGGUACCUGUAUAAGAAGCACCGGCUAACUACGUGCCAGCAGCCGCGGUAAUACGUAGGGUGCGAGCGUUUUCCGGAAUUACUGGGCGUCAAGAGCUCGUAGGUGUUUUGUCGCGUCGUCUGUGAAAUUCCGGGGCUUAACUCCGGGCGUGCAGGCGAUACGGGCUGACUUGAGUGCUGUAGGGGAGACUGGAAUUCCUGGUGUAGCGGUGAAAUGCGCAGAUAUCAGGAGGCACACCGAUGGCGAAGGCAGGUGUCUGGGCAGUAACUGACGCUGAGGAGCGAAAGGAUGGGUAGCGAACAGG